Neltuma alba is the source of this 400-nucleotide long non-coding RNA. RefSeq lists it as uncharacterized. The record is from RefSeq and is a predicted model, not a curated record. The transcript has 2 exons. Lineage: Eukaryota; Viridiplantae; Streptophyta; Magnoliopsida; Fabales; Fabaceae.
CUGAUAUGUUUGGAAGAAGUGGAGCUAAUAUUUUUAGGAAGAAUGAAAACUACAGGUUGAAACCAGCAUAUAUGCCGACAGAAUUCGAAUUCACAUAACGCUCCUAAAAAUGCCAGCAGCUAAUAUUAAUACAGCAUAAGCAAGAUUUUCAAAAUUCCUUUUGUUUAUUGGCAAUAGUGUCAUGAGGCAUCCAUGGCGAAUGGUUGACUUAUAGUUCAUAGCCUGGUGAUUUUGCAUGGGACAUCAAGAGGCCGUUUGGUUGGAUUCCAUGAGAGAGAAUUACAUGUAAUCCUUAUGUCACGCCCUGAUUUAUAUGUUUGGUUGGGCUUAUAUAAUAUAAAAAGAAUUACAUUUUGUAAUACUAAUUAUAUCAAGUGAAGUCGUCAUUUCUGCUUGGUCA